This 253-nucleotide ribosomal RNA is filed under the name uncultured bacterium. RNAcentral describes it as "partial 16S ribosomal RNA". It matches the Rfam family "Bacterial small subunit ribosomal RNA", at positions 524 to 776 of the family's 1533-position model. The record is from RNAcentral.
UACAGAGGGUGCAAGCGUUAUUCGGAAUCACUGGGCGUAAAGGGUGCGUAGACGGUUUGUUAAGUUUGUCGUUAAAGACUCUAGCCUAACUGGAGGGUUGCGAUGAAAACUGGCAAGCUAGAGGGUAAGAGAGAGAAGUGGAAUUCCCGGAGUAGCGGUAAAAUGCGUGGAUCUCGGGAGGAACACCAAUGGCGAAGGCAGCUUCUUGGCUUAUUCCUGACGUUGAGGCACGAAAGCGUGGGGAGCGAACAGG